ACUAAGCGUACACGGUGGAUGCCCUGGCAGUCAGAGGCGAUGAAGGACGUGCUAAUCUGCGAUAAGCGUCGGUAAGGUGAUAUGAACCGUUAUAACCGGCGAUUUCCGAAUGGGGAAACCCAGUGUGAUUCGUCACACUAUCAUUAACUGAAUCCAUAGGUUAAUGAGGCGAACCGGGGGAACUGAAACAUCUAAGUACCCCGAGGAAAAGAAAUCAACCGAGAUUCCCCCAGUAGCGGCGAGCGAACGGGGAGCAGCCCAGAGCCUGAAUCAGUGUGUGUGUUAGUGGAAGCGUCUGGAAAGGCGCGCGAUACAGGGUGACAGCCCCGUACACAAAAAUGCACAUGCUGUGAGCUCGAUGAGUAGGGCGGGACACGUGGUAUCCUGUCUGAAUAUGGGGGGACCAUCCUCCAAGGCUAAAUACUCCUGACUGACCGAUAGUGAACCAGUACCGUGAGGGAAAGGCGAAAAGAACCCCGGCGAGGGGAGUGAAAAAGAACCUGAAACCGUGUACGUACAAGCAGUGGGAGCCUCUUUAUGGGGUGACUGCGUACCUUUUGUAUAAUGGGUCAGCGACUUAUAUUCUGUAGCAAGGUUAACCGAAUAGGGGAGCCGAAGGGAAACCGAGUCUUAACUGGGCGUUAAGUUGCAGGGUAUAGACCCGAAACCCGGUGAUCUAGCCAUGGGCAGGUUGAAGGUUGGGUAACACUAACUGGAGGACCGAACCGACUAAUGUUGAAAAAUUAGCGGAUGACUUGUGGCUGGGGGUGAAAGGCCAAUCAAACCGGGAGAUAGCUGGUUCUCCCCGAAAGCUAUUUAGGUAGCGCCUCGUGAAUUCAUCUCCGGGGGUAGAGCACUGUUUCGGCAAGGGGGUCAUCCCGACUUACCAACCCGAUGCAAACUGCGAAUACCGGAGAAUGUUAUCACGGGAGACACACGGCGGGUGCUAACGUCCGUCGUGAAGAGGGAAACAACCCAGACCGCCAGCUAAGGUCCCAAAGUCAUGGUUAAGUGGGAAACGAUGUGGGAAGGCCCAGACAGCCAGGAUGUUGGCUUAGAAGCAGCCAUCAUUUAAAGAAAGCGUAAUAGCUCACUGGUCGAGUCGGCCUGCGCGGAAGAUGUAACGGGGCUAAACCAUGCACCGAAGCUGCGGCAGCGACGCUUAUGCGUUGUUGGGUAGGGGAGCGUUCUGUAAGCCUGCGAAGGUGUACUGUGAGGUAUGCUGGAGGUAUCAGAAGUGCGAAUGCUGACAUAAGUAACGAUAAAGCGGGUGAAAAGCCCGCUCGCCGGAAGACCAAGGGUUCCUGUCCAACGUUAAUCGGGGCAGGGUGAGUCGACCCCUAAGGCGAGGCCGAAAGGCGUAGUCGAUGGGAAACAGGUUAAUAUUCCUGUACUUGGUGUUACUGCGAAGGGGGGACGGAGAAGGCUAUGUUGGCCGGGCGACGGUUGUCCCGGUUUAAGCGUGUAGGCUGGUUUUCCAGGCAAAUCCGGAAAAUCAAGGCUGAGGCGUGAUGACGAGGCACUACGGUGCUGAAGCAACAAAUGCCCUGCUUCCAGGAAAAGCCUCUAAGCAUCAGGUAACAUCAAAUCGUACCCCAAACCGACACAGGUGGUCAGGUAGAGAAUACCAAGGCGCUUGAGAGAACUCGGGUGAAGGAACUAGGCAAAAUGGUGCCGUAACUUCGGGAGAAGGCACGCUGAUAUGUAGGUGAAGUCCCUUGCGGAUGGAGCUGAAAUCAGUCGAAGAUACCAGCUGGCUGCAACUGUUUAUUAAAAACACAGCACUGUGCAAACACGAAAGUGGACGUAUACGGUGUGACGCCUGCCCGGUGCCGGAAGGUUAAUUGAUGGGGUUAGCGGUAACGCGAAGCUCUUGAUCGAAGCCCCGGUAAACGGCGGCCGUAACUAUAACGGUCCUAAGGUAGCGAAAUUCCUUGUCGGGUAAGUUCCGACCUGCACGAAUGGCGUAAUGAUGGCCAGGCUGUCUCCACCCGAGACUCAGUGAAAUUGAACUCGCUGUGAAGAUGCAGUGUACCCGCGGCAAGACGGAAAGACCCCGUGAACCUUUACUAUAGCUUGACACUGAACAUUGAGCCUUGAUGUGUAGGAUAGGUGGGAGGCUUUGAAGUGUGGACGCCAGUCUGCAUGGAGCCGACCUUGAAAUACCACCCUUUAAUGUUUGAUGUUCUAACGUUGGCCCCUAAUCGGGGUUGCGGACAGUGUCUGGUGGGUAGUUUGACUGGGGCGGUCUCCUCCUAAAGAGUAACGGAGGAGCACGAAGGUUGGCUAAUCCUGGUCGGACAUCAGGAGGUUAGUGCAAUGGCAUAAGCCAGCUUGACUGCGAGCGUGACGGCGCGAGCAGGUGCGAAAGCAGGUCAUAGUGAUCCGGUGGUUCUGAAUGGAAGGGCCAUCGCUCAACGGAUAAAAGGUACUCCGGGGAUAACAGGCUGAUACCGCCCAAGAGUUCAUAUCGACGGCGGUGUUUGGCACCUCGAUGUCGGCUCAUCACAUCCUGGGGCUGAAGUAGGUCCCAAGGGUAUGGCUGUUCGCCAUUUAAAGUGGUACGCGAGCUGGGUUUAGAACGUCGUGAGACAGUUCGGUCCCUAUCUGCCGUGGGCGCUGGAGAACUGAGGGGGGCUGCUCCUAGUACGAGAGGACCGGAGUGGACGCAUCACUGGUGUUCGGGUUGUCAUGCCAAUGGCACUGCCCGGUAGCUAAAUGCGGAAGAGAUAAGUGCUGAAAGCAUCUAAGCACGAAACUUGCCCCGAGAUGAGUUCUCCCUGACUCCCUGAGAGUCCUGAAGGAACGUUGAAGACGACGACGUUGAUAGGCCGGGUGUGUAAGCGCAGCGAUGCGUUGAGCUAACCGGUACUAAUGAACCGUGAGGCUUAACC
This 2894-nucleotide ribosomal RNA is filed under the name Escherichia coli. RNAcentral describes it as "bacterial LSU rRNA". It matches the Rfam family "Bacterial large subunit ribosomal RNA". Lineage: Bacteria; Pseudomonadati; Pseudomonadota; Gammaproteobacteria; Enterobacterales; Enterobacteriaceae. The record is from RNAcentral. RNAcentral also lists the same sequence under 1 other name.